GCGCACCAGGCGCGAAUCCUUUACAAUGCACGAAAGUGUGAUAAGGUUACCCGGAGUGCUAAAAUUAAAUUUUAGCUGUUAUAGGUGUGUAAAUAACCCUAUGAGAAAGGAGAGGGCAAGGCUGGUGCCAGCCGCCGCGGUAAAACCAGCUCUUCAAGUGGUCGGGAAUAUUAUUGGGCUUAAAGUGUCCGUAGUCCGGUUUAGUAAGUUCCUGGUUAAAUCUGGCAGCUUAACUGUCAGUCAGCUAGGAAUACUACUUUACUAGGAGGGUGGGAAAGGUUUGAGGUACUCCGAGGGGUAGCGGUGAAAUGCGAUAAUCCGUUGGGGGACCACCAGUGGCGAAGGCGUCAAACUGGAACACGCCUGACGGUGAGGGACGAAAGCCAGGGGAGCGAACGGGGAUUA
This 405-nucleotide ribosomal RNA is filed under the name uncultured microorganism. Its description in RNAcentral is "bacterial SSU rRNA". It matches the Rfam family "Archaeal small subunit ribosomal RNA", at positions 330 to 731 of the family's 1478-position model. The record is from RNAcentral.